RNAcentral lists this ribosomal RNA (292 nucleotides) under uncultured bacterium. RNAcentral describes it as "partial 16S ribosomal RNA". It matches the Rfam family "Bacterial small subunit ribosomal RNA", at positions 505 to 796 of the family's 1533-position model. The record is from RNAcentral.
GUGUCAGCAGCCGCGGUAAGACAGAGGGUGCAAACGUUGUUCGGAAUCACUGGGCGUAAAGCGCGUGUAGGCGGCUAUGUAAGUCGGACGUGAAAUCCCACGGCUCAACCGUGGAAGUGCGCUCGAAACUGUGUAGCUUGAGUCCUGGAGAGGAAGACGGAAUACUUGGUGUAGAGGUGAAAUUCGUAGAUAUCAGGUAGAACACCAGUGGCGAAGGCGGUCUUCUGGACAGUGACUGACGCUGAGACGCGAAAGCGUGGGGAGCAAACAGGAUUAGAUACCCUCGUAGUCC